GAAUGGGUUUUAAGCUCCAAAUUUCAGAACCCUACGUCCGAAGAACGAGUAACCCGCGACCCGCAAUCCUUGAGAAACAGCGAGGGGUAUAAGCCCAGAUUCGAAGCUCAUAAAGAGAUUUCUAAUUACCAGUUUCGAUUCAGAAUGCUCGGUCGAAGUAGGUUCCUCUCGUUCCCCAUGGUAAUUGGCGCUGUUAUCAUUGGUGUUGUCUCUGGGAAAGCAAUAUUUGGGCCACCUCUUGAUGAAUACUGGAGAAAGAAGCUGGAUGAAGAGGCAAGCGCAAAGGAUUCAGGUACAACUACUCAAGUUAGCAUAGGUCAGGAUAGUCAUGUUUAGCGACAUGAAUAUGCAGAGAUUGGAUAAAUAUUGUUGCUGAAACAAUGGUUAAAUGCAUAAUCUUACAUGGAUAUUUAAGAAUGGGUUCGGCACGUACGACCUUACUUGAAUAGGAUCUGCUCUAUAGGUUGUACAAUUGUAACUUUGAGUUCAAAGGAUGCCUUCUUUUAUAUGGAUUAUAUGCACACAAAAAUGGGAGUUCAUGUCAUGA
Molecule: long non-coding RNA, 547 nt
Organism: Cucurbita maxima (winter squash)
Lineage: Eukaryota; Viridiplantae; Streptophyta; Magnoliopsida; Cucurbitales; Cucurbitaceae
Exons: 2
Source: RefSeq, a predicted model, not a curated record